Molecule: ribosomal RNA, 484 nt
Filed under: uncultured bacterium
Lineage: Bacteria
Description: partial 16S ribosomal RNA
Rfam family: Bacterial small subunit ribosomal RNA
Source: RNAcentral
AUUGAACGCUGGCGGCAGGCCUAACACAUGCAAGUCGAGCGGAUGAAGGGAGCUUGCUCCUGGAUUCAGCGGCGGACGGGUGUGUAAUGCCUAGGAAUCUGCCUGGUAGUGGGGGAUAACGUCCGUAAACGGGCGCUAAUACCGCAUACGUCCUGAGGGUGAAAGUGGGGGAUCUUCGGACCUCACGCUAUCUGAUGAGCCUAGGUCGGAUUAGCUAGUUGGUGGGGUAAAGGCCUACCAAGGCGACGAUCCGUAACUGGUCUGAGAGGAUGAUCAGUCACACUGGAACUGAGACACGGUCCAGACCCCUACGGGAGGCAGCAGGGGGGAAUAUUGGAAAAUGGGCGAAAGCAUGAUCCAGCCAUGCCGCGUGAGUGAAGAAGGUCUUCGGAUUGUAAAGCACUUUAAGUUGGGAGGAAGGGAAGUAAGUUAAUACCUUGCUGUAUUGACGUUAACAAAAGAAUAAGCACCGGCUAACUACGUG